GUGAAUCAUCGAAUCUUUGAACGCAUAUUGCGCUCGAGGCUUCGGCCAAGAGCAUGUCUGCCUCAGCGUCGGGUUAAUACUCGCUCACCCCAAACCCUGCGUUUGGAGCGCGGCGGACCUGGCUGUCCCAGCCCUCUGUGAUUCAUCACAGCAGCGCGCUGGGUUGGCUGAAGAACAGAGGUUGAUGCAAUGGACCCGUUAAGGGCCUCGGCUUUGGUAGUGCAACUCGUUGCUCAAUGCUAACAGCUGAUGGCCUGGGACCGUGCUGUCAACCCAAACCAGGAAAAAACAUUAACCAUU
Molecule: unclassified non-coding RNA, 300 nt
Filed under: uncultured fungus
Lineage: Eukaryota; Fungi
Description: sequence contains 5.8S rRNA gene, ITS2
Rfam family: 5.8S ribosomal RNA (bases 1-71)
Source: RNAcentral